UUCGCAAUGCCCGAAAGGGUGAACGAGCGACGCCGCGUGCGGGAUGAAGGGUUUCGGCUUGUAAACCGCUUUUCUUUGGGAAGAAGGUCUGUCUCGUGCAGAUGGGCUCGACGGUACCAGAGGAAUAAGCCUCGGCUAACUCCGUGCCUGCAGCCGCGGUAAUACGGAUGGAGCAAGCGUUGUUCGGAAUCACUGGGCAUAAAGCGCAUGUAGGCGGCCUUGAAAGUCGGGUGUGAAAUCCCCUGGCCCACCCAGGGAACUGCAUUCGAAACUUCAAGGCUUGAGUGAAGAAGGGGAGAGUGGAACUCCUGGUGGAGCGGUAAAAUGCGUAGAUAUCAGGAGGAACGUCGGUGGAGAAGUCGACUCUCUGGUCUUUUACUGACGCUGAGAUGCGAAAGCUAGGGGAGCAAACGAGAUUAGAUACCCCGGUAGUCCUGGCCGUAAACGUUGGGCACUAAGUAGAGGGGUUUU
RNAcentral lists this ribosomal RNA (471 nucleotides) under uncultured bacterium. RNAcentral describes it as "bacterial SSU rRNA". It matches the Rfam family "Bacterial small subunit ribosomal RNA", at positions 364 to 832 of the family's 1533-position model. The record is from RNAcentral.